CCUGAACAGAGAUUUUUUUUUUUUGCCAGUAAUAUGGUCCCUUUGAGGGGUUUCCCUGGUAGCUCAGCUGGUAAAGAAUCCACCUGCAAUGCGGGAGACCUGGGCUUGAUCCCUGGGUUGGAAAGAUCCCCUGGAGAAGGAAAUGGCUACUCACUCCAGUAUUCUGGCCUGGAGAAUUCCAUGGACCGUAUAGGGAUCUCGGGAUCGAGACUGAGUGACUUUCACUUUCACUAUGGUCCCUUUGUACUUUACUGAAGUUAGCCCUAGAUGAAUCUAGGAAGCAGGGGAUCUAGUACAGGGACUGGAGGUUGAAGAAAGGGGAUGGGGAACAUUUUGAUCAUGCAAUGCGAUUCUCUAGAAGGGCUCUGAUAGCACCAUUGUCAUUAUCACAUUGGCUCCUGUCUACUUCAUGACCAUUUGCAAUAUUUAUUGAGCACCUACUCUGUGCCAGUUCCUAAGGAUGCAGUGGUAAGCAAAACAGAGCCCAUGCUCUUCUGUGGAAUUUUUAGUAUGGAGAUGAGACAGACUAUAAACAAGUGUUAAGCAAAUAAAUAUGUAACUACAUACUUUGUAAGUUUUAUGAAGAAAUGGAUCAUGGUGCUGGAACAGAGAAGCCUGUGAGGAGAAGGGGAUGCGUUUUAGAUGAGGUGGUUGGGGAAAGCUGCUUUGAUGUGAUCUUAUGUUUUUAACAAUAUUCAUUUAUUUGGCUAUGCCAGGUCUUAGUUGCAGCAUGCAGGAUCUAGUUCCCUGACCAGAGAUCGAACCUGGGCCCCCUGCACUGAGAGCAUGGAAUCUUAACCACUGGACCACCAGCACUAUUUCUGGAAGAGAAGGGGAGAAGCUUCAGACCUUGAUUGGAAAAGAAAGAUCGACAGGAGGAAGGACUUCCCCAGGGGGAAUGACCCUGGAGUCCUAGGCUCUAUCUACAGAAGACAGAACAAAUAAAAAUGCACCACAGCUGUUACUAGCGUGAACAUAACAUAAUAGACCUCAG
This is a long non-coding RNA of Bos taurus (domestic cattle), 994 nucleotides long. NCBI's taxonomy places the organism in Eukaryota, Metazoa, Chordata, Mammalia, Artiodactyla, Bovidae. The record is from Ensembl.